RNAcentral lists this non-coding RNA (185 nucleotides) under Candidatus Omnitrophota bacterium. RNAcentral's name for it is "6S RNA". It matches the Rfam family "6S / SsrS RNA". Rfam says of the family: E. coli 6S RNA was the first non coding RNA to be sequenced, but its function was unknown until recently. Lineage: Bacteria; Pseudomonadati; Candidatus Omnitrophota. The record is from RNAcentral.
UUGUCCCUGCGGUGUACGUGGUGAAAUAGGAUUUUUUGAACCAACGCCAAAUACUAGGGAGCCUAACUUCAGGUGUGGCUGUAUACCCUGGCAAUAUUACAGGGGAACAAUAAACAUCUGAGAGGGCGCCCACGUGCUUAAUAGGUUCAUUAAGCAUCCUUUCACACGGCAUAUGUGGGGAUUUU